This 336-nucleotide unclassified non-coding RNA is filed under the name uncultured fungus. RNAcentral's name for it is "partial contains small subunit ribosomal RNA, internal transcribed spacer 1, and 5.8S ribosomal RNA". The stretch from base 1 to 73 matches the Rfam family "Eukaryotic small subunit ribosomal RNA", at positions 1759 to 1831 of the family's 1831-position model. Lineage: Eukaryota; Fungi. The record is from RNAcentral.
ACAAACUUGGUCAUUUAGAGGAAGUAAAAGUCGUAACAAGGUUUCCGUAGGUGAACCUGCGGAAGGAUCAUUACAAGAAAACUAAAGUGCUCCGGCGCUUGGCAGUUCAAUCGGGGAAACCCCUUUGCUCUGUUCAACCCUUUGUGAAAACCCCUUGUUGCCUCGGCGGCACUCCCGCCGCGCUGGCCAUCGCGCCGGCGCGGGGGAUGGUCAGUCCGCCGGUGGCACCCACCAAAACUCAUAACCAUUUUGAAGCUGUCUGAAAACAAAAAGUCGAAUGACUAUAAAACUUUCAACAACGGAUCUCUUGGUUCCCGCAUCGAUGAAGAACGCAGC